UACGUAGGUGGCAAGCGUUGUCCGGAAUUAUUGGGCGUAAAGCGCGCGCAGGCGGUUUUUUAAGUCUGGUGUUUAAGCCCGGGGCUCAACCCCGGUUCGCACCGGAAACUGGAAGACUUGAGUGCAGGAGAGGAAAGCGGAAUUCCACGUGUAGCGGUGAAAUGCGUAGAGAUGUGGAGGAACACCAGUGGCGAAGGCGGCUUUCUGGACUGUAACUGACGCUGAGGCGCGAAAGCGUGGGGAGCAAACAGG
This 252-nucleotide ribosomal RNA is filed under the name uncultured bacterium. RNAcentral's name for it is "partial 16S ribosomal RNA". It matches the Rfam family "Bacterial small subunit ribosomal RNA", at positions 524 to 776 of the family's 1533-position model. The record is from RNAcentral.